Molecule: small nucleolar RNA, 82 nt
Organism: Sphaeramia orbicularis (orbiculate cardinalfish)
Lineage: Eukaryota; Metazoa; Chordata; Actinopteri; Kurtiformes; Apogonidae
Product: small nucleolar RNA SNORD60
Source: Ensembl
UGCCAGUGAUGACAAAUUAAAUAUUUUCUGACACCUCGUAUGAGAGCUGUUUGCUCCUGAUUCGAACUUUGAUCUGAGGCCA